This 229-nucleotide long non-coding RNA is filed under the name Elaeis guineensis (African oil palm). RNAcentral's name for it is "long non-coding RNA (EGUI_LNC062828)". The record is from RNAcentral. Lineage: Eukaryota; Viridiplantae; Streptophyta; Magnoliopsida; Arecales; Arecaceae.
UGGGGUUUCUUCGCAACGUGAAGAGAUGUGGCAUGGAGGAUUUAAUUAUCACAUGGGGUGACUUGGUUUGGGUUUAGUCCUAUUCCAAAUAGGAUUCAAGAUCUUGAUCCAAUUCUAACUAAUUCUUGGAUACAAUCCUAACUAACUUAGGAAUUAGUUAUAACAAACUAACUAAUUAGGUCCUAACUCAAUUAUUAGGCUUCAAUUGAAUCAUAAUUAGUUAGAUAAA